AUUGAACGCUAGCGGUAUGCUUUACACAUGCAAGUCGAACGGCAGCGCGGACUUCGGUCUGGCGGCGAGUGGCGAACGGGUGAGUAAUGUAUCGGAACGUGCCCAGUAGCGGGGGAUAACUACGCGAAAGCGUAGCUAAUACCGCAUACGCCCUACGGGGGAAAGCAGGGGAUCGUAAGACCUUGCACUAUUGGAGCGGCCGAUAUCGGAUUAGCUAGUUGGUGAGGUAACGGCUCACCAAGGCGACGAUUCGUAGCUGGUUUGAGAGGACGACCAGCCACACUGGGACUGAGACACGGCCCAGACUCCUACGGGAGGCAGCAGUGGGGAAUUUUGGACAAUGGGGGCAACCCUGAUCCAGCCAUCCCGCGUGUGCGAUGAAGGCCUUCGGGUUGUAAAGCACUUUUGGCAGGAAAGAAACGUCGCGGGCUAAUACCCCGUGGAACUGACGGUACCUGCAGAAUAAGCACCGGCUAACUACGUG
This 484-nucleotide ribosomal RNA is filed under the name uncultured bacterium. Its description in RNAcentral is "partial 16S ribosomal RNA". It matches the Rfam family "Bacterial small subunit ribosomal RNA", at positions 30 to 507 of the family's 1533-position model. The record is from RNAcentral.